RNAcentral lists this ribosomal RNA (332 nucleotides) under uncultured bacterium. RNAcentral describes it as "bacterial SSU rRNA". It matches the Rfam family "Bacterial small subunit ribosomal RNA", at positions 568 to 898 of the family's 1533-position model. The record is from RNAcentral.
CGCGUAGGCGGUGCGGUAAGUCACCUGUGAAACCUCCGGGCUCAACUCGGAGCCUGCAGGCGAAACUGCCGUGCUGGAGUGUGGGAGGGGUGCGUGGAAUUCCCGGUGUAGCAGUGAAAUGCGUAGAGAUCGGGAGGAACACCUGUGGCGAAAGCGGCGCACUGGACCACAACUGACGCUGAGGCGCGAAAGCUAGGGGAGCAAACAGGAUUAGAUACCCUGGCAGUCCUAGCCCUAAACGAUGGAUGCUUGGUGUAGCCGGUACCCAAUCCGGCUGUGCCGCAGCUAACGCGAUAAGCAUCCCGCCUGGGGAGUACGGUCGCAAGGCUGAA